Molecule: long non-coding RNA, 1244 nt
Organism: Bos taurus (domestic cattle)
Lineage: Eukaryota; Metazoa; Chordata; Mammalia; Artiodactyla; Bovidae
Source: Ensembl
GUGUGGGAUCUGAUAACAGCCAUGUCAGUUGCUUCGUUUCAAAUUGAUUUAAGAAGACUGGGAUCCCGAUACCAAAGUCUUCAGUGGAUGAGGGGAGUAUUCUAGCAGUUGACUUCCACUGUCAUCCAUGACGCAGUGGCUGAUGCUUCAACCCGUAAAGGAAGAGACACAGUGGUGGCUUGGUUUCAACAACUUCUGUGAAAAUCAGCAGCCUGAAUCUGCAAGCCUCCUCCUUCCCAAUUGAUGGCCCCCAGCUGUGAUUUCUCCAGUAAUUACAUAUUGGUUUAAAGCUAGAAACUUCUCAUCAAGAAGCCAUCAAAGCAUUGCUAGGCAUGAGAGCCAGUUAUUAGUAAUGACGGUUCAGGAAGAGACCAUUUACAGACACAAGAUCAGAGAAGAAUAGUGUGAGAAUAAAGUAUUUCAUGAAUUCAUAGUGUCUUCCCCUCAAACAGAUGUCCUCUCCAAGAUGCCUGUCUUUCCCACCUGACUCUCCCCUGAAGCUUGACGUUCUGAAAGAUGCUGCAACAUAAGGAUCUAAAAUACUCUAGAUGUGGAACACAUCUGCAGAAAGUCCUCUGGCUUUGUGCCUCAACACUGGGUGGGCCACUAUGGAGUGACUGUACAAUUUAUCUUGAGACUAGGGCAUUUCUGAAAGUGAAAGGGAGAGCUACCUAUAAUUAUCCAGGACAUCAUAAACUGAGAUUAUCUCACAGGAAUGUGGCUGAAUUAUUAAGCAUCUGGACAGUAAAUUAAAAAAAAAUAUGUGCUGAAAAGAAAGGAGGAAAAUCAAAGAACUGUUUUCUUUCUCUAAUGUUUAGAAACUAUUCUGUAAACUUUGUAUCUCUUGACUAAUCAUAGCAACUGUCUUAGAUAGAUGUCAUUAUUCCCAUUUUAUGUAUGAGAAAACUGAGGCUCCAGAAAAUAUAGUCAUUUGCCCAAGGCCACAAUAUAUUAUAUGUUAGGGGUAGCAUGGACUUUAGAGAGGUUAGAAAUUAUGAAAAUAACUGGCCAAAUGAAUGAAUGAAUAAAAUGAUACAAAGCCCAACACAUCUCAUUCAUAAGAUGAAAAGAAUCCUGUGUAUAUUAUCAUCAGGGUUUUUAGAACGUUGCCAAUUUGAAAAAUAGUCUUAGCUAAUUUACACUUCCUGCAGCACUUUCUUUUACAGCAUCAUAAUGGCAACCCACUCCAGUAUUCUUGCCUGGAAAAUCCCAUGGAGGAACCUGGUUAGGCUACAGUCCAUGGG